UACGUAGGGUGCAAGCGUUAAUCGGAAUUACUGGGCGUAAAGCGUGCGCAGGCGGUUGUGCAAGACAGUUGUGAAAUCCCCGGGCUCAACCUGGGAAUUGCAUUUAUGACUGCACGGCUAGAGUGUGUCAGAGGGGGGUAGAAUUCCACGUGUAGCAGUGAAAUGCGUAGAGAUGGGGAGGAAUACCGAUGGCGAAGGCAGCCCCCUGGGAUAACACUGACGCUCAUGCACGAAAGCGUGGGGAGCAAACAGG
This 253-nucleotide ribosomal RNA is filed under the name uncultured bacterium. Its description in RNAcentral is "partial 16S ribosomal RNA". It matches the Rfam family "Bacterial small subunit ribosomal RNA", at positions 524 to 776 of the family's 1533-position model. The record is from RNAcentral.